UACGUAGGGGGCUAGCGUUGUCCGGAAUCAUUGGGCGUAAAGAGCGUGUAGGCGGUCCGGUAAGUCCGCUGUGAAAGUCGGGGGCUCAACCCUCGAAUGCCGGUGGAUACUGUCGGGCUAGAGUGCGGAAGAGGCGAGUGGAAUUCCUGGUGUAGCGGUGAAAUGCGCAGAUAUCAGGAGGAACACCUAUUGCGAAGGCAGCUCGCCGGGACGUUACUGACGCUGAGACGCGAAAGCGUGGGGAGCGAACAGG
RNAcentral lists this ribosomal RNA (253 nucleotides) under uncultured bacterium. RNAcentral's name for it is "partial 16S ribosomal RNA". It matches the Rfam family "Bacterial small subunit ribosomal RNA", at positions 524 to 776 of the family's 1533-position model. The record is from RNAcentral.